UAGCUACAGGCUUAACACAUGCAAGUCGAGGGGCAGCAUUUCAGUUUGCUUGCAAACUGGAGAUGGCGACCGGCGCACGGGUGAGUAACACGUAUCCAACCUGCCGAUAACUCGGGGAUAGCCUUUCGAAAGAAAGAUUAAUACCCGAUGGUAUAAUCAGACCGCAUGGUCUUGUUAUUAAAGAAUUUCGGUUAUCGAUGGGGAUGCGUUCCAUUAGGCAGUUGGUGAGGUAACGGCUCACCAAACCUUCGAUGGAUAGGGGUUCUGAGAGGAAGGUCCCCCACAUUGGAACUGAGACACGGUCCAAACUCCUACGGGAGGCAGCAGUGAGGAAUAUUGGUCAAUGGGCGCAGGCCUGAACCAGCCAAGUAGCGUGAAGGAUGACUGCCCUAUGGGUUGUAAACUUCUUUUAUAUGGGAAUAAAGUUUUCCACGUGUGGAAUUUUGUAUGUACCAUAUGAAUAAGGAUCGGCUAACUCCGUGCCAGCAGCCGCGGUAAUACGGAGGAUCCGAGCGUUAUCCGGAUUUAUUGGGUUUAAAGGGAGCGUAGGUGGACAGUUAAGUCAGUUGUGAAAGUUUGCGGCUCAACCGUAAAAUUGCAGUUGAUACUGGCUGUCUUGAGUACAGUAGAGGUGGGCGGAAUUCGUGGUGUAGCGGUGAAAUGCUUAGAUAUCACGAAGAACUCCGAUUGCGAAGGCAGCUCACUGGACUGCAACUGACACUGAUGCUCGAAAGUGUGGGUAUCAAACAGGAUUAGAUACCCUGGUAGUCCACACAGUAAACGAUGAAUACUCGCUGUUUGCGAUAUACAGUAAGCGGCCAAGCGAAAGCAUUAAGUAUUCCACCUGGGGAGUACGCCGGCAACGGUGAAACUCAAAGGAAUUGACGGGGGCCCGCACAAGCGGAGGAACAUGUGGUUUAAUUCGAUGAUACGCGAGGAACCUUACCCGGGCUUAAAUUGCAUUUGAAUAUAUUGGAAACAGUAUAGCCGUAAGGCAAAUGUGAAGGUGCUGCAUGGUUGUCGUCAGCUCGUGCCGUGAGGUGUCGGCUUAAGUGCCAUAACGAGCGCAACCCUUAUCUUUAGUUACUAACAGGUCAUGCUGAGGACUCUAGAGAGACUGCCGUCGUAAGAUGUGAGGAAGGUGGGGAUGACGUCAAAUCAGCACGGCCCUUACGUCCGGGGCUACACACGUGUUACAAUGGGGGGUACAGAAGGCAGCUACCUGGUGACAGGAUGCUAAUCCCAAAAGCCUCUCUCAGUUCGGAUCGAAGUCUGCAACCCGACUUCGUGAAGCUGGAUUCGCUAGUAAUCGCGCAUCAGCCAUGGCGCGGUGAAUACGUUCCCGGGCCUUGUACACACCGCCCGUCAAGCCAUGAAAGCCGGGGGUACCUGAAGUACGUAACCGCAAGGAGCGUCCUAGGGUAAAACUGGUA
This 1433-nucleotide ribosomal RNA is filed under the name uncultured organism. RNAcentral describes it as "SSU rRNA". It matches the Rfam family "Bacterial small subunit ribosomal RNA". The record is from RNAcentral.